RNAcentral lists this ribosomal RNA (253 nucleotides) under uncultured bacterium. RNAcentral's name for it is "partial 16S ribosomal RNA". It matches the Rfam family "Bacterial small subunit ribosomal RNA", at positions 524 to 776 of the family's 1533-position model. The record is from RNAcentral.
UACAGAGGGUGCGAGCGUUGUUCGGAAUUAUUGGGCGUAAAGGGCGCGUAGGCGGCGCCACAAGUCACUUGUGAAAACUCUGGGCUCAACUCAGAGCCUGCAAGCGAAACUGUGGUGCUGGAGUAUGGGAGAGGUGCGUGGAAUUCCCGGUGUAGCGGUGAAAUGCGUAGAUAUCGGGAGGAACCCCUGUGGCGAAAGCGGCGCACUGGACCAUAACUGACGCUGAGGCGCGAAAGCUAGGGGAGCAAACAGG